RNAcentral lists this ribosomal RNA (460 nucleotides) under uncultured bacterium. Its description in RNAcentral is "partial 16S ribosomal RNA". It matches the Rfam family "Bacterial small subunit ribosomal RNA", at positions 338 to 795 of the family's 1533-position model. The record is from RNAcentral.
CCUACGGGCGGCAGCAGUGAGGAAUAUUGGUCAAUGGACGAGAGCCUGAACCAGCCAAGUAGCGUGAAGGAUGACUGCCCUACGGGUUGUAAACUUCUUUUAUAUGGGAAUAAAAUGUUCCACGUGUGCCAUUUUGUAUGUACCAUAUGAAUAAGGAUCGGCUAACUCCGUGCCAGCAGCCGCGGUAAUACGGAGGAUCCGAGCGUUAUCCGGAUUUAUUGGGUUUAAAGGGAGCGUAGGUGGGUUGUUAAGUCAGUUGUGAAAGUUUGCGGCUCAACCGUAAAACUGCAGUUGAAACUGGCAGCCUUGAGUACAGUAGAGGUGUGCGGAAUGCGUGGUGUAGCGGUGAAAUGCUUAGAUAUCACGAAGAACUCCGAUUGCGAAGGCAGCUCACUGGACUGCAACUGACACUGAGGCUCGAAAGUGUGGGUAUCAAACAGGAUUAGAUACCCGGGUAGUC